AUACUACUGAUUUUUCCCAGAAAUUGAAUUUAAAUGAAAGUACGUUUUAAAAUUUCAUGCAUACAUAAUAUAUGAAUUAGUAUUUGAUGCAUAUAUGUGAAAUGGUGCUGUGGACGCAUAGGUAAGUAUUAGGUGAGUUUUAUGUGUUCAUGUGAAUUAUUAAUGAUAUGAAUUGUGUUGAUAGCUCAUAACCUGCACCCCUGGUGUUAGUGCUUAUAUUAUUCUGAAGGAAAUUUUGUGAAAAACAUGUUCAUUUAAGCAACAUCUAUAUAGCAUGCAUUUAACAAUUAAAGGCGGAAUCAUGCUUGCAUGCACUCAAAAACAAAUCAACCAUGAAAUUCAAAGCCUAGUAGAUUGGUGAACCAAGACUCAACUCAAAUCAAAGUGAGUUGAGAAAUUUAUACCUUUGUAGAUUCCUCUUUGCAUAAGCAAAGGCUAAUCACCCAAAGAGAGGGCCUUCAUUCCUUGCAUCUUAGAUCUAUGGAUUGGAUGGAUGAAAUGGUUCUCCAAGUUCCCAAAAUUGAGAACCUCUAAGUCUCUUCACCAAAGUUAGAUUAGAGAAGAAAUGAGUGACCUUGGAGUAGUAGGAUUGCUAGCUAAACCCUCCAAGGAGGCCGGCCACUUUAGAGAGAAAGGAGAGCUUGUGUUCUCAUCCUUUCCCUAAAAGAAAACCCUAAAUGAAUUUUGGCUAUAAAGUCAUAUUUAUACCUUAAUUCAUUGGAGUGGCAAACUUGUAAAUAAGUCCAAAACUCACUUCAUCUCUAAAUGGCCGGCCUUAUGGUAUUAUUGGGCUAAUUGGGCCUUUGUCAAUCAUUAUUCAUUAAGUUGUCAUACAACUUAAUUCAAUGGGCUUGACGUUCGAAGCCCUUUGGGCCUUAAGGUCCAAAACUAUCCCGAGGUCUUUAACGAACUUAUUCGUCUGAUUAAUUAACAUAUUAAUUAAUCCUUGCCAUAAAUAAUUAAACCAUUUAAUUAUUCUUACUCAUCUCCAUUGUUUCUUCAAUCUCCACCUUACACGGUGUACGAUCCAUUAGGUUCCUUUUAGCGAGGCAGUGGGCGAUUAAAACCAUUUCAAAUCAAUUGUGAAUUGAAACUUACUUUCAAUUCUCCCUUUAGUGAUUAUACACGUUUAGGGCUUCCA
This 1141-nucleotide long non-coding RNA is filed under the name Malus domestica (apple). RNAcentral describes it as "long non-coding RNA (MDOM_LNC020108)". Lineage: Eukaryota; Viridiplantae; Streptophyta; Magnoliopsida; Rosales; Rosaceae. The record is from RNAcentral.